GACCACGUAGCUCAGUUGGCAGAGCAUUGGACUAGUAUCCCAAAGGUGGCGGGUUCGAUUCCCAGCGUGGCCA
This 73-nucleotide transfer RNA is filed under the name Paramuricea clavata. It matches the Rfam family "tRNA". Rfam says of the family: Transfer RNA (tRNA) molecules are approximately 80 nucleotides in length. Their secondary structure includes four short double-helical elements and three loops (D, anti-codon, and T loops). Further hydrogen bonds mediate the characteristic L-shaped molecular structure. tRNAs have two regions of fundamental functional importance: the anti-codon, which is responsible for specific mRNA codon recognition, and the 3' end, to which the tRNAs corresponding amino acid is attached (by aminoacyl-tRNA synthetases). tRNAs cope with the degeneracy of the genetic code in two manners: having more than one tRNA (with a specific anti-codon) for a particular amino acid; and 'wobble' base-pairing, i.e. permitting non-standard base-pairing at the 3rd anti-codon position. The record is from Rfam by way of RNAcentral. Lineage: Eukaryota; Metazoa; Cnidaria; Anthozoa; Malacalcyonacea; Plexauridae.